RNAcentral lists this long non-coding RNA (768 nucleotides) under Homo sapiens (human). Its description in RNAcentral is "HSALNT0346089". The record is from RNAcentral. Lineage: Eukaryota; Metazoa; Chordata; Mammalia; Primates; Hominidae.
ACGAUGUAAACAGAACAGAGCAGCUGAGCCCUCCAGGUGGGCUCCAGGUGCGAUCUGCACAGACCGCGCGUGUGGGAGGCAUGGAGUCAGAGGUGCAUCCUCAAAAUGCAUCCCCCCGUCUCCUGCAGGGCGCUCAGGCCCCAGGGCCCCGUGGACAGAGCUGGUCCCAGCGUACGCACGCCACUUCCUGGGCUUGGCCGGUGGUACGCCAGAGGCUGCCCAUAGCAGGAAACCCCCGCAGAGGCCAGGGCCUCUUGUUCCACUUGGCAGAGACCCCAGAGAGAGCCAGGGGGCAGCAUCAGAGCCUGGGGCCCUGGCAGGGGUGCCCAAGGGCACGGCAGCUGCAGGUAUUGACAAGGCCAGAAGACGGCCCUCUGUGCAUGCCAUGCUUAAUAAGGUAAUAAAAAGGUAAGAUUAUAAAGAAGGAAGAGGCCUAUCAAGGAAAGAAGGCUCUUUAUUUGCUUUGCUGUCAUGGUAUCCUUCCCAUUCCACUGGCUUCCAGCACAUAUGUGGGAUGUACUUCUUGGGAUUCUCCAAAUACUCCAUCAGUGUAUCCUCUCCCCAGAUGAUGCAUUUGUUCUUAUUGGCGGCUGUGUAAGAGUAUCCAGGGGCCUGACCUGUCUUCCACCUGAAAAGACCAUGGAGAUUUGGCCCAAUCUUGUGCUUUCCUCCCUUUUCAACAGUGUGGCACUGGGAACACUUCAUAAUAAAAAUCUUCUUGCCUUUCUCAACAUCACCCAUAUUUAAUUCUCUUUUUAGUCACUGGCG